This 815-nucleotide unclassified non-coding RNA is filed under the name Hevea brasiliensis (rubber tree). Lineage: Eukaryota; Viridiplantae; Streptophyta; Magnoliopsida; Malpighiales; Euphorbiaceae. The record is from RNAcentral.
CAAAAAAAAAAAAAGCCAAAACUUAAUAAGACUGCAGCAUUCAAAACUAAAGUAGGAAUCCAAUCUUGAAAAAACAUCUUUGUACAUCACCGGAUAAUACAAAUAUUCUGAAUGAUCCAAUUCAUUUUUACUAAGUUACUAAGUAAAUUGAACAUCUCAGUGAUUCAGAGUAUCUAGUCCAAGGUCUCCUAAAUUUUCUCUUCCAACUAGAUUAAAUAGAAUAAAAAUAGAAGACAUCAUAAUUCAAAACCAAUGAUCAAUGAACUAAUAAAAUUUAAAUCUACAUUAUCUUAAGAAAAUGAAAAUCCUAAACAAAAGACACAUCAACCCAAGAUUAAACUUUCAUAACUUUUCCUACAUUAUUUCACUAAUCCAAAAAGUCUGACUGAAAACUUAGAAAUAAAAAGGUACACUUGUAAAAAAAAAUGCAAGCCUAUGUUUCAAGUGACAAAAAAAAGGAACACCCUAGUUUUUUUUUUCCCAAAAAAUAAAAAACCACAAUCAUUUAACAUUCUCAGCUUUUUCCUUCAUUUUCUCACCGGAACAAGCAGAAAGUCAAAGCCGAAAACUUCAAGAUGCAAAAAGCAUCAAAUCAAGCAAUUCAACAGUUCAAAGUUGAAGCCACCUAACGCUAGUAAAUUCCCUUCCUUUCGUCCUACAUUUUCUCACCAACCAAGCGGAAAUUGAAAUCCAUAGGCUCAAAUAAAAACAAAACCACAAAAUUAACUUCAAAGGCAUGCAUCACCAAAAUUAAAAAAUGAAAAUAAAAAAAAAAGGAACAAAAAUAUCCACGGAAGCCAAAUAGAAUACUAACC